RNAcentral lists this ribosomal RNA (468 nucleotides) under uncultured bacterium. Its description in RNAcentral is "partial 16S ribosomal RNA". It matches the Rfam family "Bacterial small subunit ribosomal RNA", at positions 28 to 507 of the family's 1533-position model. The record is from RNAcentral.
GACGAACGCUGGCGGCGUGCUUAACACAUGCAAGUCGAACGGAAAGACCCUGCUUUUGUGGGGUGCUCGAGUAGCGAACGGGUGAGUAACACGUGAGUAACCUGCCCUUGACUUUGGGAUAACUUCAGGAAACUGGGGCUAAUACCGGAUAGGAGCUCCUGCUGCAUGGUGGGGGUUGGAAAGUUUCGGCGGUUGGGGAUGGACUCGCGGCUUAUCAGCUUGUUGGUGGGGUAGUGGCUUACCAAGGCUUUGACGGGUAGCCGGCCUGAGAGGGUGACCGGCCACAUUGGGACUGAGAUACGGCCCAGACUCCUACGGGAGGCAGCAGUGGGGAAUAUUGCACAAUGGGCGGAAGCCUGAUGCAGCAACGCCGCGUGCGGGAUGACGGCCUUCGGGUUGUAAACCGCUUUCGCCUGUGACGAAGCGUGAGUGACGGUAAUGGGUAAAGAAGCACCGGCUAACUACGUG